CGCUCUUGUGGGUUGUGGGCGAAGCUUGGUCGACAUUAGCGAAUAUUUUGUUGUAUAUUUCGCCGUCAGGACUUGUUCUUGCUGCCAUUUGUCGUAUGCGGUUUCACAACAAGAGGCUUCCUUGUUGUCUCGUCUUUCACAGACCACGUUGCAACGCUUGUUUGCCAGCAGUUUGAGAACUUAAUUCGCAUCACAACGAAGGAAGUCGGUGUAUAAUUUUCGAUAGCUGUUUGUGCUGGCUGUAGAUUAUUAUGUCGACAGCUCCUAUUGGUGUGAGCGUACCCGAUUCAGAAACGCUAAGCUCGGAGAAAUCGAAGAAAUUUACAGUA
Paramuricea clavata is the source of this 329-nucleotide non-coding RNA. Lineage: Eukaryota; Metazoa; Cnidaria; Anthozoa; Malacalcyonacea; Plexauridae. The record is from the annotation of a GenBank genome assembly.